UACGUAGGGUGCGAGCGUUAAUCGGAACUACUGGGCGUAAAGCGUGCGCAGGCGGUGAUGCAAGACAGAUGUGAAAUCCCCGGGCUUAACCUGGGAACUGCAUUUGUGACUGCAUCGCUGGAGUGCGGCAGAGGGGGAUGGAAUUCCGCGUGUAGCAGUGAAAUGCGUAGAUAUGCGGAGGAACACCGAAGGCGAAGGCAAUCCCCUGGGCCUGCACUGACGCUCAUGCACGAAAGCGUGGGGAGCAAAC
RNAcentral lists this ribosomal RNA (250 nucleotides) under uncultured prokaryote. RNAcentral's name for it is "partial 16S ribosomal RNA". It matches the Rfam family "Bacterial small subunit ribosomal RNA", at positions 524 to 773 of the family's 1533-position model. The record is from RNAcentral.